Non-coding RNA from Myodes glareolus (Bank vole), 562 nucleotides. NCBI's taxonomy places the organism in Eukaryota, Metazoa, Chordata, Mammalia, Rodentia, Cricetidae. The record is from RefSeq and is a predicted model, not a curated record.
UCAUGCCAUAAACUGUUCAAGGCAGUCUGGCUCCAACAGGCCAUAAACAACACAAUGUCUACAAUGAGCACACCAAGGUGGAAAUGAAAGCUGUCUACCUGUGUCUUCUUAAUCCUUUAAACCCCAAGAACACGGAACCACUGACUGGUAUAAACAGCUCAUAAAAGACUCCGAGAGGGUGGGGAAGUGAAGAUACUCUGGUUAAAUCAAGUUUUGGAGAGCCUCAGGCUGCAGACGGGAGUUCGGAUCCCAGCACCAGCAGAGGGUGCCUCAUAAAGACAGGGAACUCCAGCUCUCGGGGAUCUGAUGCCUUCUUGUGACCUCUGUGCACCUAUGUGUACACACACACACAAACGUGGCUUGGAGGGUGUUCCAGAAUUAAGACUAUAUAUUCUUCUGUCAGAGUGCUCGUUUGCGUCCCAACGCCCACAUCGGACGACUCAACAACUGCCUGUAACUCUAACUCUAAGGAAUCUGGCCAUUACAAGCUCUUGCACUUAUGUGUACAUACCCCCACCCCUGCCACACAAACACACAAUUAAAAAUAAACCCUUCAAAAUUA